UGUGGCUGUUACUUGUGUCUCUUUCCUGGUGGCUGCAGGUUCAAAUUUAACAGACCCUGCAUAAAAACUGAAAAGAGUCUGCAACCAGGUUCAUUAACUAGCUGAGUACCCUUAAAGGCGUAUGCGUUUAUGCUUGGUUUUACCAUCCUACAACCAUUCUGGGUGAAUUAUCCAUCUCUAUUAAAAGUUGGUCCUAUAUAUAUGGGCUAUGGAUGUUUUAUAUCCAUGAAGGCCUUUGUUCCUUCCUUUUUUUUGUGAUACCAUACAGAAACCCCUGAUGAAGUCGUUCUGACGAAACGCGUUGGGUCGAAUCCGUUACGGUCUCUCAUCUAGUUCAUUAAUACACCCUACAGAAUAUACACCUAUAAGGGUGAGGGUGUUCUUUAAAGGCUUGAACAGAAAACCUAUUGACUGUAUCUGGAUGGUUUUUUUUUUAAGAAUGUUUAUAUGAAUGUAUGGAACCUUUUAUCUGUAAAAAAAUGUUCAUAUGAAUUUAUGGAAUUCUAUGUUUUUUAAUAAAAACAAAUUGGUAUCAUAUCUAA
Pseudophryne corroboree (corroboree frog) is the source of this 542-nucleotide long non-coding RNA. RefSeq lists it as uncharacterized. The transcript is spliced from 4 exons. Lineage: Eukaryota; Metazoa; Chordata; Amphibia; Anura; Myobatrachidae. The record is from RefSeq and is a predicted model, not a curated record.